AAUGAGAGCGGGAGUUUAGGCGCUUUUCGUCGUCCUGCUUCCCGGGGUAAAAAUAGAUAUUCAUAUAUGGGCUAUAUAAUUGGUUGACUGAUCCGCUAUAUAGGCUGAACUUUGAGAUUAAUCGACAAAAGAUCUGAUUCAAGAAUGCGCCGCGUGUCCGAUGCGCUUAAAGCUGGGCACAUAAUUACCUUUGUGCCCUUUUUGUACGCGUCUCUUCUUCCCAUGUCAAUUUGUCUCUACAAUUUCAGCUUUAUCUUGUAGUCUUCUCUAACAACAUUCGUCUCAUCCAAAUUCGGUGGUACAAAUUAUUAAAUUUCCAAGAUUCAGUUUUCCUUCCAAUGGAUUCCUCAGUCAAUGUUAGAUAUUGAGUUAAAAUUUGGGAGUUCUUCGUGGUAGUAGCGGCCGCAAUUAUUGUCGAAGAGGUACUCUCCCAGGUAUUCUAAAUCUCUUUGGUAUUCUCUAACUCUGCUUUUUCGUAGGUCUGGUUACUGCUUUCAACCUAAGAGAAGGCACUACUUGAGGUGUGCUAAGUUUUCUAAUACUCAUUCCACAUGAGUGUGAGUAAUUGAAAUUUCGUAGUGAUUUAAAAAUAAACUUAGCUUGCUUUAGAUUUGUAAAUCCUCUUUUUAGGAAUUACAAAUUCUGAUUUGUGAGUAAUCUUAGAUAUCCUAAUUCAUUUCCUUGAAGAAUAUGUGUGUUUGACUAGGAUAUUGAUCCGAUAGCUAAACAUAUCAAGCUGAGAAGAAAAUAAGAAGCUUUACCAUUUUCGUGUUGUGACGGGAUAAAACUCAAACAUCAAAAUCCUAUCCAGUUUAAUUUAUCAACAGUGUGAGCUGUGUGAAAAAUAGCUUUGAAUAUUGAGAAUAAGAUUGUCCAAAAGUAUUGUAUUUUAAAGUGAUACCUGCUUCAUUGAGAUCUUAUCUAAGUGAAUCUCACUCAAUCCUUUUACAUGUAGUUUUAGAGAAGAAUGUUGUUUAGUUCUGUCUGUGUAAAUGAAUAUUAGCUACAUCUUGAGACCAAUUUGAUGGUAAUCAUUUUAAUCAUAAAAAAAUACUAGCAAAAUGGGAAUGAAGAAGGAACUUAUAAAGAUGUAAAUGUUCAUUCUCCAAAGCCUCACUCUGAUAAAACAGAUAGAUAGAUUUCUGGUGAGUCAAAAAUGGUGGUGGGGAUUGGUGUUGGGCAAUUACAAGUUAUUCAUAAAUUAUUGUAGUUUUGCUCCUUGUGAAUAUGUAGUGGUCAAAUAUGAUGAUAACCUUCUCAUUAAGUACCCCUAAUAUUUUAGCUUAAAUUUUAUCUUUGAAAAUAUGAUUAUGAAAUCUGAUAUGUUACAUAGAGUAAUAUAAAUCUUUCCCUGUUUACACAACUCAAAGACCGCUGUGACUUUCGUUGCCUUUCUUAAAAAAGGCUAAGGCAGUGUGACUUUAGACAAAAAAGCAGCAAUUCAGGAUGAAAUAUGAUACAUUUGGUUCCAGCAAGAAGGGGUUAACCAGGUUUUUCAUUAUGACGAAGGGUAAGCUACUCAAUCCAUAAUCUUUAAGUGCAAGUUUCCUCAUAACAGGGAAUCGAUACAUCAUGCUGCAUAAAAAGAUGAGAAAUCAAUUUAUCAAGCUAAAAUCAAGUACCUAUAUUAAUCAUUUACAUAUGAGUAACAAUCUAGCGUGAAGAAUAACUGUGUAUUCUGCAUAAAACAAAACAAUUUUGGAGUGAACAAAAUAACAUGUUCAAGGAUUGACAGAAGCAAUUGCAAGAGCCAAAAGGUUAUUAUCCAUUUUUGUGAUACUCUUGAAUAUUUUUCAGAAACCAAAAGGUUAUAUUGCUAGCUGCUCUCUCCCCCUCCGUGCUUUGAUCAUACUGUUAAUAUUUCGUUGUAGUUUUAUACAUGUAUGUUAGAAUCUUUUUCUUCCUGCCAGCUGUAGUUAAAGAAGAAGGCACUGAUAAGGAGAUGAUGGGGAUGAUAACCUAUGAAAUUUAUUCCAUGAUAAAAACAAAUCGAAGAGCUAGAGGAGAAGUUUAAGGUUAUUCAAAUUCUACCUCUAAUCAUACUCAGUUUUCUUGUUUUGGUAGUUAUAUUGUUCUUCUAUUUGAUAUCUUCUAAGACAUUUUUAUGUCGAUAUGAAUGGUAGGUAUUUCCACUUCUAAAAGACCCUCUCGAUUCAAGAAAUAUAAUCUUGAAGAUAUAUAGUGGUAACUUCGUUCUGUAUCUUAGUUUCAGAUUCAUCAACUGUAAAUAACAAUUACUGAUAUGUUGCCAUAUUGGCUUCAUCAGAUCUGUGAUCCAGAUGAUAAGAAGGUGCAAUUUGUUUAAGGAACUAUAACUAAAGGAGUAGAUGCAAAGAAUUCAUGAAGGUUUUUUUGAAUAUUGAGAAGUAACCAAUACUAGCUAAGGGGUUGGAGAGUUCUGAUUGAUGGUGUAUGCACUUUCUGAACACAAGAUAAAGUUAUAGGUGUUUUUAUGAUUAAGUUCUUGAUAAUUAGUAGCGUUAAAAUAUAGAAAUUAAAGGGUUAAAUGGUACAUGAAAUACUUGUGGCGCAUACACUGUUAGUUCUAAAUUCAUUCGCUCCUAAUUAUUGAGUUAGUCUAUGUUUUAAACUUUGCUAUAAGUACAGGAGUUCAAUUUUUUUGCUCUUACUCAGCAUGACUAACUCAAUAAACAUCAAUUGUGUUUUAUACUUCUAUUAGAAGUCAAAAUUUAAUGAAAAAGUGCUUUUAGAAGUUGUGAAAGUUUUUAUACGCUUGUUAUAGUGUUCUUUCCCAAAUGUUAAUAGUAUGUUCGACUAUCUAUUAGAGUAUUUAUUUUGCUUGUUUAUGAACAAUUGGCAGGAAAAAGUGACAACUUUUUUAUUUCAUGUAAAGAUCAUUCAUUUAAAUCUUCAAGAUGAGCACCAGUAAUUGAAAAACAAAAAAAAUGAGUGAUCAAGUAAGGUUUUUAGAAAACAAUAAACCAAUAUAGACUAGGUUGCUUGAUGAAGAUAGGCUAUGAAGCUCGGGCCUCAGGAUGAAUUCUUCUUGGCUCAUUAUUGAAUUCAAGACCAGCGUAUUAAUUUAGACUUACAGUGGAGGGAACUAUCCAUGAAUUGCCUCUAUUUGGUUACAAACUCAAAAGUAGAUAGACUAUAGUAGGUUCAUCAUUGUGUUAAUUAGGUUGCUGCCAAAGGUUCUUAUGACUUGCUUGAACGCAAUAAUCCUUACUGUUAAUUGGUCGCGCUGAUAGGUUCUAUUGUAGUCUGUAACUCUAGAUUAGUUCCCCAAAAUUGCAGGUACAUAAUUGGAUCUUUUAGAGCACCAAAUAUUUUCUGUUAGGUCUCUUUUUCUUUUGCCCUUUUAUUUCGUGACAAGAGGGAGGAAGAAGAUGUCCUAUUACGUUGGUUGAUUAUCUUUUUCUGUUGAGCUUCUUACUGUCACUAUGAGUUUGCUUCAUGUUGCUCCGAAAAAUAGGAAAUUGAAGAUGACAACUUUUACUUUGGUCUUCCCUUCCCUCUCAAUUAUGCUUUGUCAGUUCAUCUUAGCACAUAAUGUAAGGACUUCUGGAUGGUGCAAGACAUGGACAAACUUAUUUAUGAAGCUUAAAUAUGCUUUGCUGGCAUUGUGGCAUGAGAAAUACUAAGAUUUUUGUUUAUACUUAGGCCUAGGUAAAUUGCACCAUUAAUAUAAGGGGGUGUAGAUCUUAGAGGUGUGAGGAGUAGAGAGAUAUGCAAAGAAGUUUGAAAUGUGUAUAUCGAUGUAUUGUUUAAUGUAAGCGUUAAUGGUUAUCGUCUAUAUAUGUUAGUCAAGAAAAUUUCAUUAGUGAAUGGGAGAUGAAAACUCCUCAUUUUCUACUGUCCAAGGCAUUUGUAGCUAAGCAUGAUUCCUGUAUAAUAUUACUUCAUAAGGUUUGUUGAUCAUUUUACAAAAUUAUCAGCUGGAAAACAGCUAACUCUAAUAUAUUCGAUAGAUUUUCUCCAAAUGAUCCAGUACUUCCUCUUUCGACCUUUUUUUGCCAUAUAUAAGUCAGUUACAACAUAGUCAAAUGUUAUUUCCACAAGCAUAUAUGUCUAUAAACGACAUAAUUAGAUAUCAAACUAUGUUUUUGACUCUGAGCUUGGGGUUGUGCAUAGCAUGAUCAUCACAAUGAGUACCUGUAACUCAUUACUCAUUACUCAUGCAUGUCAUUUCAACUUCACACACUAAUCAGAGUACACUAUGAAAAGUUUAUCUACUCCUUCCAUAAAAUAAUAUAUAAAUUACUAAUUUAUUAGGUUUGGGCCCGGGCUUAGCACGGGCCAUUUCACACUAGUAUAUAUAGAAGCGGGAGUUAAGGUGCUUUUCGUCGUCCCGCUUUUGCAAUUACAACAAACUCCCUUUUUUGUAUCAAAAUUUGGGGUUAUUUUGGUCUUUUUGUCAUGUCUUACACAGCCGAUUUUGUGGACGCAAAAUCACUGAAUUCUUUUCCUUUUCCUCCGUGCUCUGUUUCUCUCUCUUGGGUACUCGCGCCUUUUCGUCGUCUCCUCCGUUUCCGACGUGGAAGAUAAACUGGUUCUUGCUUUUGGCGUUGUGACCUGUUCUUCUCUCUCAGCACCACCUACGUUUUUGGUGGGUAUCUGCAAUUAACAUUAUCUCUUGAAGUUUGUUUACUUUGGUACCCCUUGCUUCUGCAAAUUUGCUCUUUAACCUCAACAUUAUUUCGGAUAAUUUACCGCACUGGUUAGCUGAUAUCGCCCAAUAAAUUGUGAAACAGCCUCUGUUUUGCUUGGGUUUCCACCUUUUUUUUGCAGCUUCACUUUUCUGCUAUCUUUCUGUCUGGUGACUGAAAGGUGAGUACUCUUCGUAUUUCUUCUCCUUCUUUAGAUUUAUGUGGCUGCGUUAAUGGACCGCAGCGGGCUCGGCAACUUUUAACUACUACCUAAUGGUUUAUAUGUGAACUAAUUUAUUGUUCUAUGAAUCAUCUACAUCCACUUUGUUCCGUUGAUUUAGUCAGAGCCUCACAUGAUGCAUUGUAAUUUAAUUAUUUGACUAAUUAGAAAUUUCUUAUCAUUGAUUUUAGAUGUAGAUAAACCCUCAGGGGUUGGCCUGGUGGCAAUUGACUUGAGCCUUGGGGUUUGCUCCCUUUCAAGGUCUCAAGUUCGAAACCCAAUAGGUGCAAAUAAUUUUCGAGGGCCAUCGGACUAGAUAAAACCUGAAUUAACCGUGGUGCACUUUCGGGAAACUCCUUGUCGAGGGCCUGCGCACCCCCGGGAUUAGUCGGGUCUCAUAGAGACUCAGACACCUGGUGCAAAUCAAAAAAAAAUUAGAUGUAGAUACCUAUUUUGCUGAAACCUUCAGAGUAGUUGCCGUCCAAGAGAGAAUUGGAUUUGAGUUUGACCUUGUUGAAAUUUCAUGCGCUUACCCUGGUCUUGCGCAAUGGUUAAUCCCACUGAUGGAUGUAGCUACCUUUGGUGAAGGGGUUCAAUUGAAUCCCCUCAGGUGGAAAGUUACAAUUUGAAAAAAGGAUAAAAACAAAUUUCUUUGUAUAUACCAACCAUUGAGCCUCCUUGACAUAAGUUCAUAUCUUAUUUAUGACAUUCUUACAUUUUUUUGAAUCCCCUUAUUCAAAAUUCGGACUCCGCCACUGAUUGCUAUUGGGUGGAUUGUGUGCAUCAUCUGUGCUCAUUCUGCUCUUUUGAUUUGGUCAGAGAAUUCAUUCUAACUUCACUAUAUUUACAUUAUCUGGUUGACUACUUAAAUAUAAUUCUUUUAUAGUUGAUUUAGUCUAGAUUUUGAUAUCUUUGGAGGAAUCUCCUGAUUAUUAAGCUUGUAUUUUGCUAUUGCUUACGAUACAAUCCACAGUGGUCGAAAGCUAUAAAAAGACAACCUCCUGCAGAUGGUGUGCAGAAAUGAACCGUAAAGCAAAUUGAUGGUUCAUGAGUUAUCCAAGUGGGUAUAUCAGGGGAGGGAAGGGACAAAGAGCUGUAGUGAGAGAGGAAUCUUCGUAGUCCUGCUUUCGCGAAACAUAAGGAGGUUUAGAGAGCUAUCUGUUUUGCACGAGUGAAGUUGUUGGCUUGUUGCCGAACAGACAGUUGAAGCUAAUAAUGCAGCUAAUAUUAAGAACCCCUCUUUGGGGUGGAUGAUAUGGUUUCUUUUUUGUUGUUAGAUUUCUUGGGUUUUUCUCAAUGGUUCCUCUUCAUAAGUUAUAUUCUUAUCUCAGGAUAUGUGUAAUGCAUAUGCAUCACAACUUUCCUUGUAAAAGAUAAAAGCUGUUCGCAAGAUUUAGCAUUUUGGAGAUAUCACUUUUACUUUUUCCGUUAGAAGUUAUACUUUUGUUUUUUUGGUUAAAUGACACUACUCUAGGGUGUAAUCGACCUUAAGAUUUGUUUAAGACACAGAUCAACACACUAGAGCUUUGUGUACAUAGUACUUGGAUGACAUGUUGACACUUGAUA
Nicotiana tabacum (common tobacco) is the source of this 6396-nucleotide long non-coding RNA. RefSeq lists it as uncharacterized. NCBI's taxonomy places the organism in Eukaryota, Viridiplantae, Streptophyta, Magnoliopsida, Solanales, Solanaceae. The record is from RefSeq and is a predicted model, not a curated record.